RNAcentral lists this transfer RNA (73 nucleotides) under Camelus ferus (Wild Bactrian camel). It matches the Rfam family "tRNA". From Rfam's summary of the family: Transfer RNA (tRNA) molecules are approximately 80 nucleotides in length. Lineage: Eukaryota; Metazoa; Chordata; Mammalia; Artiodactyla; Camelidae. The record is from Rfam by way of RNAcentral.
GGAGGGGUAGCUCAAGUGGUAGAGCACAUGCUUAGCAUGCAUAAGGUCCUGGGUUCAAUCCCCAGUACCUCCC